RNAcentral lists this ribosomal RNA (253 nucleotides) under uncultured bacterium. RNAcentral's name for it is "partial 16S ribosomal RNA". It matches the Rfam family "Bacterial small subunit ribosomal RNA", at positions 524 to 776 of the family's 1533-position model. The record is from RNAcentral.
UACGAAGGGGGCUAGCGUUGCUCGGAAUUACUGGGCGUAAAGCGCACGUAGGCGGUCUUUUAAGUCGGUGGUGAAAUCCUGGAGCUCAACUCCAGAACUGCCUUUGAUACUGAAGAUCUUGAGUUCGGGAGAGGUGAGUGGAACUGCGAGUGUAGAGGUGAAAUUCGUAGAUAUUCGCAAGAACACCAGUGGCGAAGGCGGCUCACUGGCCCGAUACUGACGCUGAGGCACGAAAGCGUGGGGAGCAAACAGG